GCAGCCGGGAGCGGCCCGCCUGCCUCCCCGCGCGCCCGCGGCCUCCCCCGCUGCCUCCCUGAGGGUUCCCCUCCGGCCGCCAGCGCCCAUCUUUCAUCCCUGGGAGAUAUUUUGCGCACAUACACACAUACACACACGCGCAAAAAGGAAAAAAAAAAAUCCCACCCUCCAGCCUCGUUGCAAAGAGAAAGCCGGAGCAGCCGCAGCUCGCAACCCGCAGAGGACGCCCAGAGCUGCAAGCCGGCGGGCGGACCGACCCACCGACUCGCGCCGCGUCCACCUGUCGGCCCGGCCCGGCAGAGCGCGCAGCGGGAACGCCGCGCGCGCGGAGCAGCCGUGCCCGCCGCCCGGGCCCCGCGCCAGGGCGCACACGCUCCCGCCCCCCCCACCCGGCCCGGGCGGGAGUUUGCACCUCUCCCUGCCCCGGUGCUCGAGCCGCCGCAGCAGAGCCAACUUUGGAAAAAGUUUUUUUUGGAAGACUCGCGCUUUGAGGUGCCCAGCCCUGCGCUUUCUGAUUUGGGGGACCUUUCCAGAAAAUGUUGCAGAAAAACUAAGCCAGCGGGCAGAGGAAAACGCCUUUAGCCGGCGAGGGAAGACGAGCCACCGACUGCCGCGUUCCUUUUCCUCUCGGAGGUUGGAGUCCCCUGCGCGCCCCCACACGGCUAGACGCCUUGGCUGGUUCGCGACGCAGCCCCCUGGCCGUGGAUGCUCGCGCGGGCUCGGGAUCCGCCCAGGUAGCGGCCUCGGACCCUGGUCCCGUGCCCAGGUCCUCCCCAGCCCCCCAGCGACGGAGCCGGGGCCGGGGGCGGCGGCGCCCGGGGGCCAUGCGGGUGAGCCGCG
This 840-nucleotide long non-coding RNA is filed under the name Marmota monax (woodchuck). The stretch from base 193 to 800 matches the Rfam family "c-sis internal ribosome entry site (IRES)". From Rfam's summary of the family: This family represents the c-sis 5'-UTR which contains three modules that can individually mediate internal ribosome entry. However, the full length sequence is required for maximal IRES activity. The record is from RNAcentral. Lineage: Eukaryota; Metazoa; Chordata; Mammalia; Rodentia; Sciuridae.